Molecule: ribosomal RNA, 564 nt
Filed under: uncultured bacterium
Lineage: Bacteria
Description: bacterial SSU rRNA
Rfam family: Bacterial small subunit ribosomal RNA
Source: RNAcentral
CCUACGGGAGGCAGCAGUGGGGAAUUUUCCGCAAUGGGCGAAAGCCUGACGGAGCAACGCCGCGUGAGGGAUGAAGGCCUCUGGGCUGUAAACCUCUUUUAUCAAGGAAGAAGAUCUGACGGUACUUGAUGAAUAAGCCACGGCUAAUUCCGUGCCAGCAGCCGCGGUAAUACGGGAGUGGCAAGCGUUAUCCGGAAUUAUUGGGCGUAAAGCGUCCGCAGGCGGUCUUUUAAGUCUGUCGUCAAAGCGUGGAGCUUAACUCCAUUACUGCGAUGGAAACUGGAAGACUAGAGUGUGGUAGGGGCAGAGGGAAUUCCCGGUGUAGCGGUGAAAUGCGUAGAUAUCGGGAAGAACACCAGUGGCGAAGGCGCUCUGCUGGGCCAUAACUGACGCUCAUGGACGAAAGCCAGGGGAGCGAAAGGGAUUAGAUACCCCUGUAGUCCUGGCCGUAAACGAUGAACACUAGGUGUCGGGGGAAUCGACCCCCUCGGUGUCGUAGCCAACGCGUUAAGUGUUCCGCCUGGGGAGUACGCACGCAAGUGUGAAACUCAAAUGAAUUGACGG